CACCCUCCCAGCUCUCGGACUCCGCAAAAAGUGGGAAUUAUUUAUUUGUGGGUUUAUGAAAGCUAAAUUGACUGCUUGAUUUCUUACUCCUUGCAGGAACUUGUCUAAGGACAGCAUCAGCAAGAUUACCCUCAAACAACCACCCCAUCUGCCCUGUGCAGUUCAGCUGAGAAGUCCACGCUCCCAGCCCCUCUCUCUCAGGCAUCUCGAGCACCUCACCAGUCGCUGCUCCGACCACAGGCC
This 243-nucleotide long non-coding RNA is filed under the name Fukomys damarensis (Damara mole-rat). RNAcentral describes it as "lncRNA (ENSFDAG00000030846.1)". Lineage: Eukaryota; Metazoa; Chordata; Mammalia; Rodentia; Bathyergidae. The record is from RNAcentral.